GGACCAAAUCAACAACUCCUCUUGAUGAAACUCUAAGUUAAUUCUCUAGAGAGAAGAAUGCACUUUGUCCACCCUGGGCAAUAGGAGCAAGAACAGGGGAGGAAGGAUGAGGAGCAGACAUCUGGCAACUGGAAAUAUAGCGAGCUUCAGAUUUCCAAAGAGAGCUCAGAAAAAAGCUUCAGCUCCCUACUUACGCUGAGAAACAACGCUAUUCGGUUUUCAUCAACACCAACUCUGUUAAAGAUUCUAUUUUUGAAAGUGAAAGAACUCCUCCUCCUUCCACUCCCCAACCUUGGACCCCGUCCUCACCCCCAACUGCUCUCAGCAAUGGAAAACCACAUCUCUUGCAUUCCAGAAUCUAACUGAUGCUGCACUCACCAAGGUCCUUGAGUAAAUCCUGCAAGUGAACCUCGGCCCACAUGUCGAGGACCCGAAGGAAUUGGACUGGGCCUAAAUUUGAUAUGUUCUUAUUACGAGACUUCAUGCUGCUGUCAAUUUCUGCCAUCGGAUCCAUCAACCUUUUAUCUUGGUAGUUGGGGAGGGGAACACUAGCUGAGCACUUUGUAGGAUGUCAGCUGAAAGAUUAAUUGCCUUGAGACUAAGGAAAAUGAAAAACACAGCAAAUAUC
Long non-coding RNA from Ornithorhynchus anatinus (platypus), 628 nucleotides. RefSeq lists it as uncharacterized. The transcript is spliced from 2 exons. Lineage: Eukaryota; Metazoa; Chordata; Mammalia; Monotremata; Ornithorhynchidae. The record is from RefSeq and is a predicted model, not a curated record.